GUCGAACGCACUCUCGUUUAGAUUGAAGAGCUUGCUCCUGAUUGAUAAACAUUUGAGUGAGUGGCGGACGGGUGAGUAACACGUGGGUAACCUGCCCUAAAGUGGGGGAUAACAUUUGGAAACAGAUGCUAAUACCGCAUAAAACCUAACACCGCAUGGUGUAGGGUUGAAAGAUGGUUUCGGCUAUCACUUUAGGAUGGACCCGCGGUGCAUUAGUUAGUUGGUGAGGUAAAGGCUCACCAAGACCGUGAUGCAUAGCCGACCUGAGAGGGUAAUCGGCCACACUGGGACUGAGACACGGCCCAGACUCCUACGGGAGGCAGCAGUAGGGAAUCUUCCACAAUGGACGAAAGUCUGAUGGAGCAACGCCGCGUGAGUGAAGAAGGUUUUCGGAUCGUAAAACUCUGUUGUUGGAGAAGAAUGUAUCUGAUAGUAACUGAUCAGGUAGUGACGGUAUCCAACCAGAAAGCCACGGCUAACUACGUGCCAGCAGCCGCGGUAAUACGUAGGUGGCAAGCGUUGUCCGGAUUUAUUGGGGCGUAAAGCGAGCGCAGGCGGUUUCUUAAGUCUGAUGUGAAAGC
Molecule: ribosomal RNA, 581 nt
Filed under: Latilactobacillus sakei
Lineage: Bacteria; Bacillati; Bacillota; Bacilli; Lactobacillales; Lactobacillaceae
Description: bacterial SSU rRNA
Rfam family: Bacterial small subunit ribosomal RNA
Source: RNAcentral